Molecule: ribosomal RNA, 496 nt
Filed under: Escherichia coli
Lineage: Bacteria; Pseudomonadati; Pseudomonadota; Gammaproteobacteria; Enterobacterales; Enterobacteriaceae
Also listed under: 1 other name
Description: bacterial SSU rRNA
Rfam family: Bacterial small subunit ribosomal RNA
Source: RNAcentral
CUGAGAGGAUGACCAGCCACACUGGAACUGAGACACGGUCCAGACUCCUACGGGAGGCAGCAGUGGGGAAUAUUGCACAAUGGGCGCAAGCCUGAUGCAGCCAUGCCGCGUGUAUGAAGAAGGCCUUCGGGUUGUAAAGUACUUUCAGCGGGGAGGAAGGGAGUAAAGUUAAUACCUUUGCUCAUUGACGUUACCCGCAGAAGAAGCACCGGCUAACUCCGUGCCAGCAGCCGCGGUAAUACGGAGGGUGCAAGCGUUAAUCGGAAUUACUGGGCGUAAAGCGCACGCAGGCGGUUUGUUAAGUCAGAUGUGAAAUCCCCGGGCUCAACCUGGGAACUGCAUCUGAUACUGGCAAGCUUGAGUCUCGUAGAGGGGGGUAGAAUUCCAGGUGUAGCGGUGAAAUGCGUAGAGAUCUGGAGGAAUACCGGUGGCGAAGGCGGCCCCCUGGACGAAGACUGACGCUCAGGUGCGAAAGCGUGGGGAGCAAACAGGAUUA